CUGGAAGCAUCACAAUUCUGGGCUUCAAGUUAUAUGACAAAGCUAUAGUGAUUAAGACAGUAUGGUACUGGCACAUAAACUGACAAAUAGACAAAU
Molecule: long non-coding RNA, 96 nt
Organism: Mustela erminea (ermine)
Lineage: Eukaryota; Metazoa; Chordata; Mammalia; Carnivora; Mustelidae
Exons: 3
Source: RefSeq, a predicted model, not a curated record